GCUUCCUAAACUGCAGAUCUAGAGGGGUCAAGCAAGCAGACGGGGGCCUAGGUGGUUCUUUCGGGGCCAGAUGGAGAGAGUUAACACAGGACUUCUUUCCAUCUGGGUCUACAAGGCUGGAGCCAAAAUGGGGAUGCUCAGAAGACAAUGAGUUGAGAUUCCUGGAGGCAACAGGGUGGUAGACCGUGAGAAUGUUUCUAAAAGGAUCUGAUGGUCAUUCUGGUCCCCGGAGGAAUUACAGGGAAGCUGAACAGGUGGUUUGAAUCCUCCUUGCCUCUGAGACUGGCCAAGAGUGAGCCUCUGCAGCUAAGGAGAUGUGGGAACAGUGUGAUUUAGUCCUGCUCCCCCAAUAGCAGGACCUGAGCCCCAGUGAUUGAAGAUUAACCUAUAUAAAAUGAGUUUUUCUCUUUUCUUUCUAUUUUUGUUUCUGCAAUGUCUGAAUUUGUUGCUGCAUUUUUUUCCCCAGUUCAAACCAUGGUAAUAGGUUUUAGUUCCAGAUAAAUGGCAUUGUUUCCAAUUAGAUGCAAUGCAAUACAUGCCUCUGCAUAUGUAUCCCAUCCUCACCCUCUCUCCUCCCUUCUCUCCUCAUGAAGGCAGCAUCCCAGCCCAUCUAGUCCACUAAUCUCUUCCUCUGAACCCCAUAUAGCACUCACCUUUAGUAAAACACAUUUUGGAACCUAAAGAUCUAAUGUUUUUCUUGUUGAAAUCACCUUUUUAUAGUGUAAGGUCAUCUCAGGCCACCAACAUUCCCCAUAGGAGCUUUAACAAUUGCCUGCUUAUCUAGCCUCUCAGUCUACAUCUCAUUCAAUCUAUCCCCCCUCUUUGCCUCUAGAAUACUCAUUUUAAUCUGCAGAUUUGGUCCUUGUUUAAUACUUCACCGGCUAUCCUUUGCUUAUAGACAGAAGUCCAAAGGCUUAGAUUGGCCAGCAAAACCCUCCAUCAUGUCUUCUACUUGCACUGCACUCUAUCCUCUGUGCUGAACUAUUUGGAGUCCCUGAGUACAUCAUUAUUGCUCUGUUCUUCUGCACAUUUGAACAUGCCUUUUUCUCUGCCUAGAAUUCCCUUCUCCCUCAUAUUCAGAGCAGACUCUGUUCAACUUAAAGAUUCAGCUCAGAGAUCGCCCUGAGGAGCCUUCCCAAACCUGCUGGUUAGAUCUGAUCACACCUUUCUUGUGUGUUUGCUUGUAUCUUGUUAUUACCUCUAAUGUUGCACUUAUCACAUACUGUGGAAAUACUUUUUUGUUAACAUGUCUAUGUCGUCUACUAAAUCAAAUGCCCUUUGAGCCUUGGAUAGGGCCAGGUACAUAGUUGAUGCUCAAUAAAUGCUCGUUUUAAGAGCUAUAGAUAUAUAGCUAUGACAAAUGAAGGAAUAAUGUGUAACUUGUCUCCAUAUUGUCCUAAAAGACUCACAUUAAGCCUAUUUCCUAAAUCAUUGACUAUGUUCUCCAAAUUUGUCAAACUAAAAUUUAGCCCAGUAUUUAUAUUGAUGCCUUUAUAUUCACCCAGAAAAGUUGGGUCUGAUCAGAGUCAGGAAUGGGACAGAGAGAGGAGGGAUGGGAGGGGAGAAUUCCCUCCAUCUGCCUUUCUGAUGCCCAAAUCUACUACAAAUGGAGCCAGUUAUGGAAAGUGGUCAUUCUGCCACGUAGGAAAAGAAAACUUAUCUCUGUGGCUUUCUGCAAUAUACCAAAGUGUUGUAUGCUGUCCCCCUUCAACUGAGAAGCUGUCAGUCCAAGGUGGGAUGAAAGCUUCCACGAGAUCAAGCCAUUCACGUAUAGAAUCCGUGCACUGAAGCCCAGAUUCAGCCUCACACCUGUCUGCACCUUCUUGCCUCACUUCUGUUUAUCCCAUUUAUGUCCGUGAUGCUAGUUUGUACCCUUGCGCCUUCUGGGGACUAAGAAGCCUGCUGCCAAUUAUGCUUAUCUUCCAAUUGUUCCGUUGAAGCUUAAUUGGUGCCUUGUUGGCAGCAGUUUCACAGCAACCUAGACGAGGGUUUAACCUCUUGCUUGGUUGGCUGUAUGCAGGAUCACCUACUUCACUGCAAUUAGAGAAUCGUAUCACAGAGAUGAAUAGCGUGAUCACUUUCUGAAUUACUUGUGACUUGGUCUUAAGAAGAUUAUUUAAGAUUUGUUUUUUCUUUCCCCAGGAAAUCAUAGUAAUACCAAGAAGCUAAGAGGAAAAAUAAAUGAAGAGGGGAAAUUUAGGUCUUACUAUUCCUUAUAUGGAGGAUGGUGUCCACUGGUUAGAACACUGCAUGACUGGAAAAAUAGCACUUCUGUCAAGCAAAAUAAAACCUUUUAUAAAAGGCGAGAACAAAGCAAAACAAAGAACCCCACACAAACCAAAACGAAGACUCCUCCUAAGGGUGGAAUUUCAUACAAAAGUGAGUGGAGACGAGGUUGAUCUCAGCCCUCCAAAAUUUAUGCCACGUGAGAAUCCUCCUCCUUCAUUUACUGGAUAAGAAAGUGAGAUGAAUAAAGUGUACUGGAAACUUUCAUUUCCUGCUGCCUCACUGCUGCCUGGUCCCUUCAGAUGGAUCUGUGUCCUCCUGUGUGACAGGUAUUGGGCCAAGGUGAACACCUGGCCUAGGAUUGGUCCAUCCAUUGCUUACCAGUGACCCAGGACUUGAGUGGAUGGUCUGGCCUGAAUAGAUGAGCUACCACAAUCUGAUUUUCCCUCUCUGGACAUGGAUCCAGAAUAUUCAGCAGUAAGUUACCAACUCAAGGAUCUAUAGGCCUAAUGAAGAGGCUGCCAUUUAUGGUCAUGUUUAAGAUGGUUAAGUACAAAAAAAGUGAAC
Molecule: long non-coding RNA, 2793 nt
Organism: Equus caballus (horse)
Lineage: Eukaryota; Metazoa; Chordata; Mammalia; Perissodactyla; Equidae
Source: Ensembl